GAUGAACGCUGGCGGCGUGCCUAAUACAUGCAAGUCGAGCGAACAGAUAAGGAGCUUGCUCCUUUGACGUUAGCGGCGGACGGGUGAGUAACACGUGGGUAACCUACCUAUAAGACUGGGAUAACUUCGGGAAACCGGAGCUAAUACCGGAUAACAUUUGGAACCGCAUGGUUCUAAAGUGAAAGAUGGUUUUGCUAUCACUUAUAGAUGGACCCGCGCCGUAUUAGCUAGUUGGUAAGGUAACGGCUUACCAAGGCGACGAUACGUAGCCGACCUGAGAGGGUGAUCGGCCACACUGGAACUGAGACACGGUCCAGACUCCUGCGGGAGGCAGCAGUAGGGAAUCUUCCGCAAUGGGCGAAAGCCUGACGGAGCAACGCCGCGUGAGUGAUGAAGGGUUUCGGCUCGUAAAACUCUGUUAUUAGGGAAGAACAAACGUGUAAGUAACUGUGCACGUCUUGACGGUACCUAAUCAGAAAGCCACGGCUAACUACGUG
This 497-nucleotide ribosomal RNA is filed under the name uncultured bacterium. RNAcentral describes it as "partial 16S ribosomal RNA". It matches the Rfam family "Bacterial small subunit ribosomal RNA", at positions 28 to 507 of the family's 1533-position model. The record is from RNAcentral.